This 152-nucleotide microRNA precursor is filed under the name Citrus sinensis (sweet orange). Its description in RNAcentral is "miR3946 stem-loop (csi-MIR3946)". Lineage: Eukaryota; Viridiplantae; Streptophyta; Magnoliopsida; Sapindales; Rutaceae. The record is from miRBase by way of RNAcentral.
AUAAAGAUGAUGAUGACAAUGAAUUUUGUAGAGAAAGAGAAGAGAGCACAAACUUUUUGCUGAAAGUAGCUUUGAUUCGAUGUGUAUCGGUUCAUAGAUAAUGAGUUUUCAAGUCUAUUUUAAUAGAAUACUAAAAGUUAGCUCUAAAAAUC